AUUAACCAAAGUUUAACAUUAUCAACAUGGAGGGCCUCUGUGUGACUGCGUUUACUGCCUGGGUUAGUAAAUGGCUCAUGUGUCAUUUCUCAUAUCCCUCACCCAAAUGGGCCGCGUGACUGUCCCAUGCAAUCGCUCUUCACUGCGCCACACUGUGUUAAUGGAAAGGGGCUGAAAUGGCUUUAAUUAUUUAUUGUAUGCCCAUCCUGAUUGUGUUUGACCAACAGAGGGUGAAGAGUCGAGGCUUAGAAGAAGUCAUCGUUCUCAAUGUGGACACCAACACGCUGGAAAGUCCCUUUGACGACUUUAAGAGGAUCCCCCCCGAUGUGAUGUCCCAGCUGAAGAUAGGCCUGAAACGGCAGGCCGUGUCUCCAGGCUGUGGGGUGUCCAGGGCCUUUUAAGAACACAGGCGCUGCUGUUCGGGGGAUACCGAGAGGCGCUACACACUCAGGACGGUGAAGUAAGUUUUAACAAAGAUCUGUUUCUGGAUCACAAGUCCAACAGCAUGAGGCAGUUUCUUCAAAGCGCUGUACAUCUGCAGUGCUUCAAACAGUUCGUUGACAGUCGCGUGGACAUUUUGAACAAAGGGCACGAGCCUGAAGACCUUUUGAGGAAGAGAUUCAGAACUGUGAAGACUCUUCAGGUUCCCAUCAUUAUUGCUGCGUGUCGUUGUGUCAUGUGUUUUAUAUUGUACGUAAGUCAUGUGUCUGUCUGUUACAGGGAAGCCCAGGUCCUACCAGCAGUUAGUGGGCAAUAUAAGGGUGAGCUUGUGUUCUGUGGUGUUGUCAAAAGCUUUAAAAUAAUUAAAUUGUUGCUUUUGUUUUGUAUUUCUACAGAAGGGAGGAGGAGCCUGAUCCUCAAUGUGAAGUCAAACAUGAAGGUGCACAGCAAAAUAUCCAUAAGUGUUAAUGGAAGAGUCACUGUGCUCUUAAUGUUCAUAUGGGGUUUUAUAUUUCUUACAGGCCAAAGGUCUCACAAAAUCUGGACUGAAAAAUCUAUUGGUCCAUAAGGUAAACAGAUCCAUACAGUUAUUCUAUCUAAGGUUUUUCAAACGUCAAUCAGGUGUUAGAUAUUGUGACUGCCAACAGGUGAAAAUAAAACCCCCUCAGUUAGUGGACUAUUCGGAAGGAAAUUACCUUUUUAAAGUGGAAAAGUGCAACAAAUUGAUAUAACUGACUAUAAAUGACAGCAGUUCCUGUGGUUUUGCAGAGGCUAUUAUUGAACAGAAGGUGCUUUAGAAUUGAUCAGUCACCAUUUUAUCAAGAUGUUAAGAUCUAAUGUAAGUGGUCAUAAUGUUUUGUGAGACUAGUUCUAAAAUAUUGUCCAUAA
RNAcentral lists this long non-coding RNA (1329 nucleotides) under Neogobius melanostomus (round goby). RNAcentral's name for it is "lncRNA (ENSNMLG00000017319.1)". The record is from RNAcentral. Lineage: Eukaryota; Metazoa; Chordata; Actinopteri; Gobiiformes; Gobiidae.